AGAGUUUGAUUAUGGCUCAGGAUGAACGCUGGCGGCGUGCCUAAUACAUGCAAGUCGAACGAGAGUGCUUGCACUCGAGUGGCGAACGGGUGAGUAACACGUAGGUAACCUGCCUCACAGUUUGGGAUACCCAGAGGAACUUUGGCUAAUACCGGAUAAUGGUUGGAAGGCAUCUUCCGACUCUAAAAGGGGCCUUUAAAGCCUCGCUGAGAGAUGGACCUGCGGCGCAUUAGCUAGUUGGUGAGAUAACAGCCCACCAAGGCGAGGAUGCGUAGCCGACCUGAGAGGGUGAACGGCCACACUGGAACUGAGACACGGUCCAGACUCCUACGGGAGGCAGCAGUAGGGAGUUUUCGGCAAUGGGGGAAACCCUGACCGAGCAACGCCGCGUGAGUGAUGAAGGGUUCCUUCGGAUUGUAAAGCUCUGUUGUAGGGGAAGAACGAUAUGAUGAGGAAAUGCUUCAUAUUUGACGGUACCUUAUUAGAAAGCCACGGCUAACUACGUGCCAGCCGCAGC
This 517-nucleotide ribosomal RNA is filed under the name uncultured bacterium. Its description in RNAcentral is "bacterial SSU rRNA". It matches the Rfam family "Bacterial small subunit ribosomal RNA", at positions 8 to 518 of the family's 1533-position model. The record is from RNAcentral.